RNAcentral lists this ribosomal RNA (497 nucleotides) under uncultured bacterium. RNAcentral's name for it is "partial 16S ribosomal RNA". It matches the Rfam family "Bacterial small subunit ribosomal RNA", at positions 28 to 507 of the family's 1533-position model. The record is from RNAcentral.
GAUGAACGCUGGCGGCGUGCCUAAUACAUGCAAGUCGAGCGAACGGACGAGAAGCUUGCUUCUCUGAUGUUAGCGGCGGACGGGUGAGUAACACGUGGAUAACCUACCUAUAAGACUGGGAUAACUUCGGGAAACCGGAGCUAAUACCGGAUAAUAUUUUGAACCGCAUGGUUCAAAAGUGAAAGACGGUCUUGCUGUCACUUCUAGAUGGAUCCGCGCUGCAUUGGCUAGUUGGUAAGGUAACGGCUUACCAAGGCAACGAUGCAUAGCCGACCUGAGAGGGUGAUCGGCCACACGGGAACUGAGACACGGUCCAUGCUCCUACGGGAGGCAGCAGUAGGGAAUCUUCCGCAAUGGGCGAAAGCCUGACGGAGCAACGCCGCGUGAGUGAUGAAGGUCUUCGGAUCGUAAAACUCUGUUAUUAGGGAAGAACAUAUGUGUAAGUAACUGUGCACAUCUUGACGGUACCUAAUCAGAAAGCCACGGCUAACUACGUG